This 253-nucleotide ribosomal RNA is filed under the name uncultured bacterium. Its description in RNAcentral is "partial 16S ribosomal RNA". It matches the Rfam family "Bacterial small subunit ribosomal RNA", at positions 524 to 776 of the family's 1533-position model. The record is from RNAcentral.
UACGAGGGGGGCGAGCGUUGUUCGGAAUUAUUGGGCGUAAAGGGCGCGUAGGCGGUGCGGUAAGUCACCUGUGAAACCCCCGGGCUUAACCUGGGGGCUGCAUUUGAUACGUGUUGUCUUGAGUUCGGAAGAGGGUCGUGGAAUUCCCAGUGUAGAGGUGAAAUUCGUAGAUAUUGGGAAGAACACCGGUGGCGAAGGCGGCGACCUGGUCCGACACUGACGCUGAGGUGCGAAAGCGUGGGGAGUAAACAGG